Molecule: ribosomal RNA, 497 nt
Filed under: uncultured bacterium
Lineage: Bacteria
Description: partial 16S ribosomal RNA
Rfam family: Bacterial small subunit ribosomal RNA
Source: RNAcentral
GAUGAACGCUGGCGGCGUGCCUAAUACAUGCAAGUCGAGCGAACAGAUGAGGAGCUUGCUCCUCUGACGUUAGCGGCGGACGGGUGAGUAACACGUGGAUAACCUACCUAUAAGACUGGGAUAACUUCGGGAAACCGGAGCUAAUACCGGAUAAUAUAUUGAACCGCAUGGUUCAAUAGUGACAGACGGUUUUGCUGUCACUUAUAGAUGGAUCCGCGCCGCAUUAGCUAGUUGGUAAGGUAACGGCUUACCAAGGCAACGAUGCGUAGCCGACCUGAGAGGGUGAUCGGCCACACUGGAACUGAGACACGGUCCAGACUCCUACGGGAGGCAGCAGUAGGGAAUCUUCCGCAAUGGGCGAAAGCCUGACGGAGCAACGCCGCGUGAGUGAUGAAGGUCUUCGGAUCGUAAAACUCUGUUAUUAGGGAAGAACAAAUGUGUAAGUAACUAUGCACGUCUUGACGGUACCUAAUCAGAAAGCCACGGCUAACUACGUG